Molecule: ribosomal RNA, 496 nt
Filed under: uncultured bacterium
Lineage: Bacteria
Description: partial 16S ribosomal RNA
Rfam family: Bacterial small subunit ribosomal RNA
Source: RNAcentral
AUGAACGCUGGCGGCGUGCCUCAUCCAUGCCAGUCGCGCGAACAGACGAGGAGCUUGCUCCCCUGACGUUAGCGGCGGACGGGUGAGUAACACGUGGAUAACCUACCUAUAAGACUGGGAUAACUUCGGGAAACCGGAGCUAAUACCGGAUAAUAUAUUGAACCGCAUGGUUCAAUAGUGAAAGACGGUUUUGCUGUCACUUAUAGAUGGAUCCGCGCCGCAUUAGCUAGUUGGUAAGGUAACGGCUUACCAAGGCGACGAUGCGUAGCCGACCUGAGAGGGUGAUCGGCCACACUGGAACUGAGACACGGUCCAGACUCCUACGGGAGGCAGCAGUAGGGAAUCUUCCGCAAUGGGCGAAAGCCUGACGGAGCAACGCCGCGUGAGUGAUGAAGGUCUUCGGAUCGUAAAACUCUGUUAUUAGGGAAGAACAAAUGUGUAAGUAACUAUGCACGUCUUGACGGUACCUAAUCAGAAAGCCACGGCUAACUACGUG